RNAcentral lists this transfer RNA (67 nucleotides) under Marmota monax (woodchuck). RNAcentral's name for it is "tRNA.Ala". Lineage: Eukaryota; Metazoa; Chordata; Mammalia; Rodentia; Sciuridae. The record is from RNAcentral.
GGUUAUAGCUCAGUGGUAGAGCACUCGCCUAGCUUGUGCAAGGCCCUGGGUUCAAUCCUCAGCACCA